GUGGGGAAUUUUGGACAAUGGGCGAAAGCCUGAUCCAGCAAUGCCGCGUGCAGGAUGAAGGCCCUCGGGUUGUAAACUGCUUUUGUACGGAACGAAAAGCCUGGGGCUAAUAUCCCCGGGUCAUGACGGUACCGUAAGAAUAAGCACCGGCUAACUACGUGCCAGCAGCCGCGGUAAUACGUAGGGUGCAAGCGUUAAUCGGAAUUACUGGGCGUAAAGCGUGCGCAGGCGGUUUUGUAAGACAGUGGUGAAAUCCCCGGGCUCAACCUGGGAACUGCCAUUGUGACUGCAAGGCUAGAGUGCGGCAGAGGGGGAUGGAAUUCCGCGUGUAGCAGUGAAAUGCGUAGAUAUGCGGAGGAACACCGAUGGCGAAGGCAAUCCCCUGGGCCUGCACUGACGCUCAUGCACGAAAGCGUGGGGAGCAAACAGGAUUAGAAACCCGUGUAGUCC
This 450-nucleotide ribosomal RNA is filed under the name uncultured bacterium. Its description in RNAcentral is "partial 16S ribosomal RNA". It matches the Rfam family "Bacterial small subunit ribosomal RNA", at positions 354 to 796 of the family's 1533-position model. The record is from RNAcentral.